Molecule: non-coding RNA, 27 nt
Filed under: Mus musculus (house mouse)
Lineage: Eukaryota; Metazoa; Chordata; Mammalia; Rodentia; Muridae
Source: RNAcentral
AGNGAAGAAAGGCAGCCAGAAACUACC